This 380-nucleotide unclassified non-coding RNA is filed under the name uncultured bacterium. RNAcentral's name for it is "contains 16S-23S intergenic spacer region". The stretch from base 1 to 123 matches the Rfam family "5.8S ribosomal RNA", at positions 30 to 154 of the family's 154-position model. The record is from RNAcentral.
GCAUCGAUGAAGAACGCAGCGAAGUGCGAUAAGCAAUGCGAAUUGCAGAACCGUGAGUCAUCAGAUUUUUGAACGCAACUGGCGCUGGCUGGGUCUCCAGCCAGCAUGCUUGUUUCAGUGUCUUGUUUUCUCCUCACCCAAAACUUAAUGCGAGAGAUACCCUUCUCUUGUCAAGCAUGAAAGCACUCUGUUUCUGCCAGCGAUUCUUGACUUGUUCAGGAGUCGCACUCAAUGCAGACGUCACAUUUCUUUUAAUGUGAACUCAUUGGGAGCAGGAAUUGUCAGCUAACGCUGUCAGUGCUUAGUCACUUAAACUUUCUUUGCAUCUGAAAUCAAGCAGGAUCACCCGCUGAACUUAAGCAUAUCAAUAAGCGGAGGAU